UAGGGAAUUUUGCGCAAUGGGCGAAAUGCCUGACGCAGCGACGUCGCGUGUGGGAUGAAGGGUUUCGGCUCGUAAACCACUGUCAGAUGGGAAGAUGGGAUCAGCGACUAAUAAUCUCUGGUCUUGACUGUACCAUCAGAGGAAGCACCGGCUAACUACGUGCCAGCAGCCGCGGUAAUACGUAGGGUGCAAGCGUUACUCGGAAUCAUUGGGCGUAAAGGGUGUGUAGGCGGGACAGUAAGUCAGAUGUGAAAGCCUUGGGCUCAACUCAAGAAGUGCAUUUGAUACUGCUGUUCUAGAAUUCAGGAGAGGAAGGAAGAAUUCCCGGUGUAGAGGUGAAAUCCGUAGAUAUCGGGAGGAAUACCGGAGGCGAAGGCGUCCUUCUGGACUGAUAUUGACGCUGAGACACGAAAGCGUGGGUAGCAAACAGG
Molecule: ribosomal RNA, 431 nt
Filed under: uncultured bacterium
Lineage: Bacteria
Description: bacterial SSU rRNA
Rfam family: Bacterial small subunit ribosomal RNA
Source: RNAcentral